CUACGUAGGGGGCAAGCGUUGUCCGGAAUUACUGGGCGUAAAGAGCUCGUAGGCGGCUCAGCAAGUCGGUCGUGAAAGCCCGAGGCUCAACCUCGGAACUGCGGUCGAUACUGCUGUGGCUAGAGUCCGGUAGAGGAGAGUGGAAUUCCCGGUGUAGCGGUGGAAUGCGCAGAUAUCGGGAGGAACACCAGUGGCGAAGGCGGCUCUCUGGGCCGGUACUGACGCUGAGGAGCGAAAGCGUGGGGAGCAAACAGGAUUAGAAACCCCAGUAGUCC
This 275-nucleotide ribosomal RNA is filed under the name uncultured bacterium. RNAcentral describes it as "partial 16S ribosomal RNA". It matches the Rfam family "Bacterial small subunit ribosomal RNA", at positions 523 to 796 of the family's 1533-position model. The record is from RNAcentral.